CAGGCCUAACACAUGCAAGUCGAGCGCGACAAGUGCCUUCGGGUGCGAGUAGAGCGGCGGACGGGUGCGUAACGCGUAGGAAUCUGCCUGGUAGUGGGGGAUAACUCGGGGAAACUCGAGCUAAUACCGCAUACGCCCCAUGGGGGAAAGCCGGGGACCUUCGGGCCUGGCGCGAUUGGAUGAGCCCAUGUCGGAUUAGCUAGUUGGCGGGGUAACGGCCCACCAAGGCGACGAUCCGUAGCUGGUCUGAGAGGAUGAUCAGCCACACUGGAACUGAGACACGGUCCAGACUCCUACGGGAGGCAGCAGUAGGGAAUAUUGGACAAUGGGCGCAAGCCUGAUCCAGCCAUGCCGCGUGAGUUAAGAAGGCCUUCGGGUUGUAAAGCUCUUUUGUCCGGAAAGAAAGCUUCGGGUCAUACCCGGAGUCCUGACGGUACCGGAAGAAUAAGCACCGGCUAACUUCGUGCCAGCAGCCGCGGUAAU
Molecule: ribosomal RNA, 483 nt
Filed under: uncultured Gammaproteobacteria bacterium
Lineage: Bacteria; Pseudomonadati; Pseudomonadota; Gammaproteobacteria
Description: bacterial SSU rRNA
Rfam family: Bacterial small subunit ribosomal RNA
Source: RNAcentral